UACGUAGGUGGCAAGCGAUACUCGGAAUCACUAGGCGUAAAGCGCAGGUAGGCGGCUCGAUAAGUCUCUUGUGAAAGCUCCCGGCUCAACUGGGAGAGGUCAAGGGAAACUGUUGGGCUAGAGUGUGGUAGAGGAAACUGGAAUUCCCGGUGUAGCGGUGAAAUGCGUAGAUAUCGGGAGGAAUACCUAUGGCGAAAGCAGGUUUCUGGGCCAUCACUGACGCUGAGCUGCGAAAGCUAGGGGAGCAAACAGG
RNAcentral lists this ribosomal RNA (253 nucleotides) under uncultured bacterium. RNAcentral describes it as "partial 16S ribosomal RNA". It matches the Rfam family "Bacterial small subunit ribosomal RNA", at positions 524 to 776 of the family's 1533-position model. The record is from RNAcentral.